RNAcentral lists this ribosomal RNA (253 nucleotides) under uncultured bacterium. RNAcentral describes it as "partial 16S ribosomal RNA". It matches the Rfam family "Bacterial small subunit ribosomal RNA", at positions 524 to 776 of the family's 1533-position model. The record is from RNAcentral.
UACGGAGGGGACUAGCGUUGUUCGGAAUUACUGGGCGUAAAGCGCACGUAGGCGGAUUUGUAAGUCAGGGGUGAAAUCCCGGGGCUCAACCUCGGAACUGCCUUUGAUACUGCAAAUCUCGAGUUCGGAAGAGGUGAGUGGAAUUCCUAGUGUAGAGGUGAAAUUCGUAGAUAUUAGGAAGAACACCAGUGGCGAAGGCGGCUCACUGGUCCGGUACUGACGCUGAGGUGCGAAAGCGUGGGGAGCAAACAGG